GGAGCCGGCCGGACAGCCGCGUCAUCGAGCGAUCGAUGCCGAGGAAAGUCCGGGCUCCACAGGGCACGGUGCCAGGUAACGCCUGGGCGGCGCGAGCCGACGGAAAGUGCAACAGAAAGAUACCGCCUAUGUCGGAGCGAUCCGGCAGGUAAGGGUGAAAUGGUGCGGUAAGAGCGCACCGCGAGUCCGGCAACGGACCGGCACGGCAAACCCCACCGGGAGCAAGACCAAAUAGGGAGACCAUGCUGCGGCCCGCAGCGUCUCCGGGUAGGUUGCUCGAGCGCAUCGGCGACGAUGCGCCUAGAGGAAUGGCUGUCCACGACAGAACCCGGCUUACAGGCCGGCUCCGCCA
Molecule: RNase P RNA, 352 nt
Filed under: Luteimonas sp.
Lineage: Bacteria; Pseudomonadati; Pseudomonadota; Gammaproteobacteria; Lysobacterales; Lysobacteraceae
Description: RNase P RNA component class A
Rfam family: Bacterial RNase P class A
About the family: Ribonuclease P (RNase P) is a ubiquitous endoribonuclease, found in archaea, bacteria and eukarya as well as chloroplasts and mitochondria. Its best characterised activity is the generation of mature 5'-ends of tRNAs by cleaving the 5'-leader elements of precursor-tRNAs.
Source: RNAcentral